This 182-nucleotide non-coding RNA is filed under the name Clostridium magnum DSM 2767. Its description in RNAcentral is "6S / SsrS RNA". It matches the Rfam family "6S / SsrS RNA". From Rfam's summary of the family: E. coli 6S RNA was the first non coding RNA to be sequenced, but its function was unknown until recently. It consists of 184 nucleotides that fold into an extended hairpin structure with a large single-stranded internal bulge. The record is from Rfam by way of RNAcentral. Lineage: Bacteria; Bacillati; Bacillota; Clostridia; Eubacteriales; Clostridiaceae.
AAAUUCCUACCAUGUGCGUAUAAUGAGUUUAUAUUGAUCCAACAUUUUUUUUAUGGGAAUCGAGCUCUUUUUGUGGAAUGAUAUUCAGGUUUAGUAACUUGAGAACAUGAAGCAAAAAGGAGAUACCCACCUGCGAGGAGCGGGUUCAAAAAUGACUCAAAAUACGGCAUGGUGGGGUUUUA